Long non-coding RNA from Salvia splendens (bonfire salvia), 485 nucleotides. RefSeq lists it as uncharacterized. The transcript is spliced from 3 exons. The record is from RefSeq and is a predicted model, not a curated record. NCBI's taxonomy places the organism in Eukaryota, Viridiplantae, Streptophyta, Magnoliopsida, Lamiales, Lamiaceae.
AUUUAAAGAGAAUACAAAAAAUAGCGUGAAUUAAAUCAAAACAAAUUCUCUUCCUAUUGACUUGGUCACCAAGUCAAAUUUAAUUAGAGAUUUUAUAAAGAUUAACCUCCUCCGUGAAAAGAUAUUCAUCCUCCGUAAUCUACAAAUAAAAUACCAAAUAAAUACAAUUAAAUCAAAAAUAAAAAAAAUAUAGAAACCAAGAAAACCUCCCUCCUCAAUACACGAAAAAAACGUUCCCCUCAACCCCAAAAUCUCUCCAUAUCUUUAAACCACCCCUCCAUGUAUUUUAAAUCCCCUAACUCAGUUAUUUCCUACUCUGCUCGUUCGCUGCAACAAAGAAAACCAAGCUAUUCUUCUCAAUCAAAUUCAAGAACCGAGAACUAAAGCAAGGGGUGUCCCGGCUUCGUUCAGUUACAAUCUGCAAAUUGAAGGGCCGCAACCCUACUUGGACUAGUGUACACCUAUGGUAGAUCGUGUGCUAGCGU